GACGAACGCUGGCGGCGUGCUUAACACAUGCAAGUCGAACGGAAAGGCCCUGCUUUUGUGGGGUGCUCGAGUGGCGAAAGGGUGAGUAACACGUGAGUAACCUGCCCUUGACUUUGGGAUAACUUCAGGAAACUGGGGCUAAUACCGGAUAGGAGCUUCUGCUGCAUGGUGGGGGUUGGAAAGUUUCGGCGGUUGGGGAUGGACUCGCGGCUUAUCAGCUUGUUGGUGGGGUAGUGGCUUACCAAGGCUUUGACGGGUAGCCGGCCUGAGAGGGUGACCGGCCACCUUGGGACUGCGAUACGGCCCAGACUCCUACGGGAGGCAGCAGAGGGGAAUAUUGCACAAUGGGCGGAAGCCUGAUGCAGCAACGCCGCGUGCGGGAUGACGGCCUUCGGGUUGUAAACCGCUUUCGCCGGUGACGAAGCGUGAGUGACGGUAAUGGGUAAAGAAGCACCGGCUAACUACGUG
Molecule: ribosomal RNA, 468 nt
Filed under: uncultured bacterium
Lineage: Bacteria
Description: partial 16S ribosomal RNA
Rfam family: Bacterial small subunit ribosomal RNA
Source: RNAcentral